CCCUGAAAAGUUCUAACGGCAUAAAGGUUUGGUCCUGACCUUACUAUCAGCUUCUUCUAAACUUACACAUGCAAGUCUCAGCAUACCCGUGAGGAUGCCCUUUAAUCUCUACCAGGAUAAGGAGCUGGUAUCAGGCACUAAAAUUUGCCCAUCACACCUAGUCUCACCACGCCCCCAAGGGUCACAGCAGUGAUAAACAUUGUUCAUAAGCGACAGCUUGACUCAGUUAUAGAAUACAGAGCUGGCCAACUCGGUGCCAGCCGCCGCGGCUAAACCGCACGAGCUCAAGUUGAUACAUUUCGGCGUUAAGCGUGAUUAAAGGAUCUUCUAAUUAGAAUAAAAUCAUCAUUUAGCUGUGACAAGCUUGUAAUUGAGAAAAACAAAAACGAAAGUUAUUCUAAUAUACUUGAACCCACGACAGUUAGGAAACAAACUGGGAUUAGAUACCCCACUAUGCCCAACCGUAAAAUAUACUUACACUACCAACGCCAGGGGAUAACGAGCCUAGCUUAAAACCCAAAGGACUUGACGGUGUCCCACCCAACUAGAGGAGCCUGUUCUAUAAUCGAUAACCCCCGAUUUACCCAACCCUAUUUUGCCACUCAGCCUGUAUACCUCCGUCGUAAGCUUACCAUAUGAAUGCCCACAGUAAGUUUAAUGAUUUAAACAUCAGUACGUCAGGUCAAGGUGCAGCUUAUAAUGGGGAAAGAAAUGGGCUACAAUUUCUAAACUAGAACACACGAAAUGCUACAUGAAACAUAACAACGAAGGCGGAUUUAGUAGUAAAAGGGGAAUAGUGUGCCCCUUUUAACAAGGCCCUGGGACGUGUACACACCGCCCGUCACCCUCUUCAACAACCAAUAACUUGUCUAUAACAACUUUCCCAAUCACAGAAGAGGCAAGUCGUAACAUGGUAAGUGUACCGGAAGGUGCACUUGGAAUACAAAAUAUAGCUUAACCAAAGCCCCUCGCUUACACCGAGAAAAUGUCUGUAAAAAUCAGAUUAUUUUGAACCUAAAAUUUAGCCUAUUUUAAACCUUCUGCACACACAAUCACAUCUACUUAAAAAUAAAACAUUUUAUCAGUUCAGUAGAGGCGAUCAAAAAACUUAUUAGAGCCACAUUAUUAGUACCGUAAGGGAAAAAUGAAACAGCUUUGAAACAGAAUUAAAGUGAAACACAGCAGAGACUGCCCCUCGUACCUUUUGUAUCAUGGUUUAGCUAGUCCUCAACAAGCAAAGCGAAACAUCAGUUUGACCCCCCGAAACUAGACGAGCUACUUUAAAACAGUUUAACAGAACCAACCCGUCUCUGUCGCAAAAGAGUGGGACGAUUUUAAAGUAGAGGUGAAAAGCCUAUCGAGCCUAGAGAUAGCUGGUUACUUAAGAAAUGAAUUUUAGUUCAACCUCAAUUCUGCAUAUUAAAACUACAAACACCUAAGACUUGAGAGUUAGUUAAAUAAGGCACAGCUUAUUUAAUAAAGGAUACAGCCUACAAAAAAGGGUAAAAGUUAACUCAAAUAAAUCAAGUGGGCCUAAAAGCAGCCACCUUUAAAAAAGCGUUAAAGCUUCAUCUUAUAACUCAACCAAUACCUCACCACCCCUUUAACCCUUUACCACUAUUAAGUAAAUUUAUAAUAAUAUAAAAGAUUUUAUGCUAAAACUAGUAACAAGAAAUUGAAUUUCUCCAAAAUUUAAGCAUACACCAAAAUGGACUAACCAUUGGUAAUUAGCGCUAAUAAAAUUGUUAUAGUAACAUACCAAGAAAACACUACAUUUUUACACGUUAACCUUACACAAGUAAAUUUCAGGAAAGAUUAAAAGAAAGAGAAGGAACUCGGCAAAUUUUAACCCCGCCUGUUUACCAAAAACAUCGCCUCUUGAUUAAAUAUAGGAGGUCCAGCCUGCCCAGUGACACACUUAAACGGCCGCGGUACCCUGACCGUGCAAAGGUAGCAUAAUCAUUUGUUCUUUAAAUAAGGACUUGUAUCAACGGCAUCACGAGGGUUAUACUGUCUCCUCUCUCCAAUCAGUGAAACUGACCUCCCCGUGAAGAGGCGGGGAUAGAAACACAAGACGAGAAGACCCCAUGGAGCUUUAAACCCAAUAACAACUCUUCUUAAUAAACCUAAAAAAUUUAGAUACCCUGUUUAUUGGUUUUGGGUUGGGGUGACCACGGAGUAAAAAUUAACCUCCUUGACGAAUAGAUCUAAUCUUUAUCUAAGAGCCACCACUCAAAGAAUCAAAAAUUUGACGUUACAUGAUCCGGCAACCGAUCAACGAACCAAGUUACCCUGGGGAUAACAGCGCAAUCCAUUUCAAGAGCUCCUAUCGACGAAUGGGUUUACGACCUCGAUGUUGGAUCAGGGUAUCCCAGUGGUGCAGCCG
Molecule: non-coding RNA, 2386 nt
Filed under: Limnonectes sp. G BJE-2003
Lineage: Eukaryota; Metazoa; Chordata; Amphibia; Anura; Dicroglossidae
Description: partial contains tRNA-Phe, 12S ribosomal RNA, tRNA-Val, and 16S ribosomal RNA
Rfam family: Bacterial small subunit ribosomal RNA (bases 17-951)
Source: RNAcentral